CUGUUGCCCAGGCUGGUCUCAAACUCCUGACCUCAAGUGAUCUUCCUACCUCGGCCUCCCAAAGUGCUGGGAUUACAGGAAAUGGCCCGCCAGCUGCUGGCAGUGUUUGGCGGCUACUACAUCCGGCUUCUAGUGACCUCCCAGCUCCCUCAGGCAAUGGGGACACGACACACGAACUCUCCGAGAAUUCCAUGCCCCUGCCAGCUCAUAGAAGCCUACAUCCUAGGCACAGGGUGCUGCCCGUUCCUGGCGAGGUGACCUAGGGAUGAAGGUACUCAUCUUCCUUCAAGACUGAGCAGUCAGGAAGGCUUCAGGAGCCCAAGAUGGCCAAUGGGGAGCCCCAGGUGAGGAGAGAAGCAUCUGGGGGCACUCCAAAAGGGGCCUGUGAUGUCAGCCACUGGGGUGUUGUGCUCACUUCAGGGCCCAGCACAAAAAUCCUUGUUUGACAUCUCAUGCUGACCCCCUGGCCUUUGCAGAAGCUGAUGGUUACAGAGCUAGUCCCACCAAAGCUACUCUCUCUGCUGCUUAGAACUGUGGACACGUAUGGAAAGACUGGACCCCCAUUGCUUUCAUUGUUCAGAGAACCCAGGAGACAUGAAGAUGACCAGACUGGGCAAAUUAUGUGUCCAAAACUUGGCCUCAGAUGAUGUUUCCAUCUCCAACCCCUUCAUGCCAGAUGGGGAAACUGAGGCUCAGAGAGGAUACUGCUCUAUGUGGCAUUGCCUUGAACCCCUAAAAUUAUCAGACUUCCUUUUUCCAAUAUAAAGAAAAAAAGUAAGUUUUCAGAAUUCUCUCAAUUUUUAAGUUUUUCUCCCCCAUAUUUUGUGAAAAGCAGUGGUAUGUGUACGUGUUGUCUACCAGUACACAGGCUGCAGAAGACAGAGACAGAAGAAAGAGAUCAAGGGCAGAUAACUGUUGAUAGGAAUAUUUGAGAAAGAUUGAUCCUGUUUGACUUGAGGACUUAUUUUGUUCACAGGCAUGCACGCUUGUGGUUGUGGUUUUAUAUUACAGAUGUAGAACAAUGGUUAUGUUUCCCGACAUGAACAUUGUCCUGGAAUGAAGUGUGAUCAGCCACUUGUGGAAUUCUUUGAAGAGCUCAGAGGCUUCCAAGUGAUCUGCUCCUGAACAAGUUUGAAGACCUAUUGUUUCAUAGACCCAAGACCAAACGCAUCUAAAGGAUCCCCAGCCCCCAAGACCUAGCCUUUGUCUGCGAUUUUGGCUUCAUCUCCCACAAAACCCCUUUAUGAGUUCACGCUCUUUCCUGGACUGACAUACCUAUUCCUUUCCAUUUGUUGGACUCCUAUUCAUGCUUCAAAGUCCAGCUUUCUUAAGCCCUUCUUUAGGAAGCCUUCCCACACAGCCAACCCUGCUGCUCUCUGCCUCCUUUAAAUUCUUGAUACAGCUGCUGCUUGUUCUGAUGUUUUAUGGUAUUGAUUCUGUUUUCCUGUGUAUAUGCCAGUUUUUCUAGCUAGACUGUAAACUCCUUAAGGACAGAGACUACACCUUGUACUUUUUGUGCAUGACCUGGACCUGCUAAGGAAAAAAAAAUCUUGUGGAUUGAUUGCUUUGCCAUCCCCACAGCAGCUUUUGCAAAUUGCUUUCCAAACUCACUUGAAUGAUGACAUUGCUGUGGACCUGGGUUCUGGACCUGAUCUGCCACUUCAAGCUGUGUAAUUUUUGGCAAGUUGCUUUCUUUGCCUGGUCCUCAGUUUGCCCAUCAAUAUAAUGGGUGGAUUGGAUGAUUUUUUUUUUUUUAAUUGAGAUGGAGUCUUGCACUGUCACCCAGGCUGGAGUGCAGUGGCGCGAUCUUGGCUCACUGCAACCCCCGCCACCUAGGUUCAAGUGAUUCUCAUGCCUCAGCCUCCCAAGUAGCUGGGACUACAGGUGUGCACCACUACUCCUGGAUAUUUUUUUGUGUUUUUAGUAGAGAUGGGGUUUCGCCAUGUUGGCCAAGCUGGUCUUGAACUCCUGACCUCAGGUGAUCCACCCGCCUCGGGCUCCCAAAGUGCUGGGAUUACAGACGUGAGGCACCACAACCAGCCUGGAUGAUUCUUAAGGGCCCUUCUAGGACCAAAGUUCUGGGAAUUUCUAGCUUAUUCUGCCCCCUCAUAGCCCUUGGCCUAUCUAUCUUUAUCCACAUGCAGAAACAUCUGGCAACCCCACAUGGCUGAGAUGACCUGGUCCUAGGACACCCUUGGACAGAAGACUGGCCUACCUAGCAGACCUGGAUUUUUCUUCCUGAUCUGCUGCUUCCAAGUUGUGUGACCUUGGCUAAGUCACUUAACCUUUCUGAUUGUCAUUUCGCUUUUUAAUAAAGUGGGUCUGGUGAACAAGAAAUGUAAUAAACACGUGGCUUGCCAUUCAAGAGAUGAGUCUGACCAUUCACUUUCUGUGUGCCAGAGAAGAGAGAUCAUGGGUAUAGACCAGCCCCUGGAAAGGCUGCUUUGGUCAAGGCUGAGAGCAGCUUUGCUCAAGGAAAUUAUUCACGAAGGUGACCACUGUCUUUCUGACCUGGCACAGAGGAAAUGUUGGCUGUGAAUGUGACCAAUAGAAAGAAGCCCGUAUUUCUCAGUCAGUCCUAGAACCCCGGUAAGUAAUUAACAGAGAAUAAAAAUGUGUUUGUUAAAUGACAAAGCAGCAGUUUUUCAAUUGUAAGGUCUGCUUGAGAGCCUUUGAUGUGUGUUUCUUUUCCUGACUUUUCCUUUCUUUAGAAUUUUUGAUGGUCUCACCUGGUGGGUGGGGCUUUCAGGGUAUGCCCACAAUGUACAUUUCUCGGCAUCUGUGCCUCAGUUUCCUCAUUUAUAAAAUCCCUAUGAUCUCUGUCUCACCUACUUUACAGGGUUGCUGUGAAGAUCGCAUACUACACACAGGAAUGCUCAUCAGUUUUUAAAUUUUAUUUAAUUUUUAUUUAUUUUUUUUUAAAUGUAAUUUUUUCAGAGAGAUAAGGUCUUGCUAUGUUACCCAGCCUAGUCUUGAACUCCUGGCCUCAAGUGAUCCUCCUGCCUUGGCCUCCCAUGCUGCUGGGAUUACAGGUGUGAACUACCAUGCCCAGCCAGCUCCUAAGUCUUAAGGCUCUGUGUUAGUGAUAGAUGUGGCCAUGGUGUAGGCAGUGCAAUGUCUUCGAGUGAGAGUGAAGGUGGUAACUCAUUGCAUGGAUUCUAGAGUUCUGUUUAUUCUAAUCCAAGUUCUUCCACUUAAAAACAAUGUUCUUCCUCUCAUUGAGUCUCAUUCCUCAUCUAUAGGAUGGGAAUAAGAGCAUGUACCUGGCAGGUUGUUG
Molecule: long non-coding RNA, 3277 nt
Filed under: Homo sapiens (human)
Lineage: Eukaryota; Metazoa; Chordata; Mammalia; Primates; Hominidae
Description: HSALNT0154344
Source: RNAcentral